Molecule: ribosomal RNA, 253 nt
Filed under: bacterium
Lineage: Bacteria
Also listed under: 3 other names
Description: partial 16S ribosomal RNA
Rfam family: Bacterial small subunit ribosomal RNA
Source: RNAcentral
UACGAAGGGGACUAGCGUUGUUCGGAAUCACUGGGCGUAAAGCGCACGUAGGCGGAUCAUUUAGUCAGGGGUGAAAUCCCGGGGCUCAACCUCGGAACUGCCUUUGAUACUGAUGGUCUCGAGUCCGAUAGAGGUGGGUAGAAUUCCUAGUGUAGAGGUGAAAUUCGUAGAUAUUAGGAAGAAUACCGGUGGCGAAGGCGGCCCACUGGAUCGGUACUGACGCUGAGGUGCGAAAGCGUGGGGAGCAAACAGG